This 1254-nucleotide long non-coding RNA is filed under the name Homo sapiens (human). RNAcentral describes it as "HSALNT0069624". The record is from RNAcentral. Lineage: Eukaryota; Metazoa; Chordata; Mammalia; Primates; Hominidae.
GGCAUUGAGUGUCUGUGGCUUUUCCAGGUGCACAGUGCAAGCUGUUGGUGUAUCCAGGUGUUUUCAUACAUCCUCUGAAAUCUAGGCAGAGGUUCCCAAACCUCAAUUCUCCACUUCUGUGUACCCACACCACAUGGAAUCUGACAAAUCUUGGGACUUGCACCCUCUGAAGCCAUGGCCUGAGCUGUACCUUGCCCCCUUUUAGUCAUGGCUAGAGUGGGUGGGAUGCAAGACACUAAGUUCUUAGGCUGCAAACAGCACGAAGACCCUGGGCCUAGCCCACGAAACCAUUUUUUCCUCCUAGGCCUCCGGGCCUGUGAUGGGAGGGGCUGCCAUGAAGACCUCUGACAUGUCCUGGAGACAUUUUCCCUAAUGUCUUUGGGAUUAACAUUUGGCUUCUUGUUACUUAUGCAAAAUUUUGUAGCAGGCUUGAAUUUCUCUUGAAAUGGGAUUUUCUUCUCUAUCACGUUGUCAGGCUGCAAAUUUUCCAAACUUUUAUGCUCUGCUUCCCUUAUAAUACUGAAUACCUUUAACAGCACCCAAGACUCCUUUUGAAUGCUUUGCUGCUUAGAAAUUUCUUCUGCAAGAUACCCUAAAUCAUCUCUCUCAAGUUUAAAGUACCACAAAUCUCUAGGGCAGGGGCAAAAUGCCAAUAGUUUCUUUGCUAAAAGAUAACAAGAGUUUUGCUCUUUGUAACAAAGUUGUUUGCUCCAGUUUCCAACAAUAUCUCCAUCUGAGAUCACCUCAGCUUGGACCUUAUAGUUCAUAUCAAUCAUCUCCAUCUGAGAUCACCUCAGCUUGAUCCUUAUAGUUCAUAUCACUAUCAGCAUUUUGAUCAAAGCCAUUCAACACAUCUCUAGGAAGUUCCAAACUUUCCCACAUUUUCCUGUCUUCUUCUGAGCCCUCCAAACUGUUCCAACUUCUGCCUGUUAUGCAGUUCCAAAGUCGCUUCCACAUUUUUGGGAAUCUUUUCAGCAGCACCCCACUCUACUCAUACCAUUUUAGCGUAUUAGUCCGUUUUCACACUGUGGAUAAAGACACACCCAAGACUGGGCAAUUUACAAAAGAAAGAGGUUUAUUGGACUUACAGUUCCAAGUGGCUGUGGAGGCCUCACAAUCAUGGUGGAAGGUGAAAGGCAUGUCUCACAUGUUGGCAGAAAAGAGAAGAGAGCUUGUGUAGGGAAACUCCCCUUUUCAAAAAUCAUCAGGUCUCUUGAGAGUUAUUCACUAUCAUGAGAACAGCACAGGAGGGAC